RNAcentral lists this ribosomal RNA (482 nucleotides) under uncultured bacterium. RNAcentral's name for it is "partial 16S ribosomal RNA". It matches the Rfam family "Bacterial small subunit ribosomal RNA", at positions 30 to 507 of the family's 1533-position model. The record is from RNAcentral.
AUUGAACGCUGGCGGCAUGCUUUACACAUGCAAGUCGAACGGUAACAGGCCGCAAGGUGCUGACGAGUGGCGAACGGGUGAGUAAUGCAUCGGAACGUGCCCAGUCGUGGGGGAUAACUACUCGAAAGAGUAGCUAAUACCUCAUACGAUCUAUGGAUGAAAGCGGGGGGCCGUAAGGCCUCGCGCGGUUGGGGCGGCCGAUGUCAGAUUAGGUAGUUGGUGGGGUAACGGCUCACCAAGCCAACGAUCUGUAGCUGGUCUGAGAGGACGACCAGCCACACUGGAACUGAGACACGGCCCAGACUCCUACGGGAGGCAGCAGUGGGGAAUUUUGGACAAUGGGCGCAAGCCUGAUCCAGCAAUGCCGCGUGCAGGAAGAGGGCCUUCGGGUUGUAAACUGCUUUUGUACGGAACGAAACGGCUCUGGUUAAUACCCGGGGCUAAUGACGGUACCGUAAGAAUAAGCACCGGCUAACUACGUG